GAAAAAAAAAAAACUAAUUUUAUAUUUCAAUGGUCGAAAUUUGGAGGCCUUACCAGUGACGCUGCCCCAUCCGAUGGCCGUGACGUCACUCCAACUUCAAGAAGUCAGCAGCCAUCUCCAACGACGAGGCCAGCCGCUACAGCGACACUGGCCAACGAGCCAAAGCCAAUACCAUCGACAAUGCAUCCCGGGUGGCCGGACCAGCAGCCACUCGGAUGCAGCCAAUUCUUACGCUUCAUUGGCAUCACCGGGGUAGCCCCGGUAAUAGAACUCACUAGUGCGUAAUUUUCGAACUGAACCUAAAGGAAACCUACUUAAAUAGACCGUCGGGAACACGUCGAGUUGAAAUUUACAAAAUUGAAAUUUGAAUUUAAGAAGCGCGGCAUUGUCAGUGCUGUGCAAGAUUAAAUUAAAACAAUGCAGUACUGGAAAAGCUGGCGAUUUAUAUAUA
This is a long non-coding RNA of Drosophila pseudoobscura, 451 nucleotides long. RefSeq lists it as uncharacterized. NCBI's taxonomy places the organism in Eukaryota, Metazoa, Arthropoda, Insecta, Diptera, Drosophilidae. The transcript has 2 exons. The record is from RefSeq and is a predicted model, not a curated record.